This 308-nucleotide ribosomal RNA is filed under the name uncultured Glomeromycotina. Its description in RNAcentral is "LSU rRNA". The record is from RNAcentral. Lineage: Eukaryota; Fungi; Glomeromycota.
GAGAAUGGUGUAGGGAUCUAGUUGAUGGAGACGGGUUACUCGCGUUCUUUCGAGUGCACUUCCUUACUUGCUAGGUAGCAUCGAUUUUGGUUAUCAUAUAAAAAUUGAGGGAAGGUGGCUUUUCUUCGGAAAAGUGUUAUAGACCUUGAUUAAUGUGGUGACCGGGAUUGAGGAUUGCAGCGGAUACCCUUUUGGGCUAGUCACCUGGCUUCUGAUGGUUACCCCGUCUUCGAUAGCUUGCUAACGUUGAUGGGAUUUGAUUGUCUAGAUGUUGGAGUGAUCAUAAAUUCGUUAAGGAUGUUGACGUA